This 265-nucleotide signal recognition particle RNA is filed under the name Bacillota bacterium. Its description in RNAcentral is "signal recognition particle sRNA large type". It matches the Rfam family "Bacterial large signal recognition particle RNA". Rfam says of the family: The signal recognition particle (SRP) is a universally conserved ribonucleoprotein involved in the co-translational targeting of proteins to membranes. Lineage: Bacteria; Bacillati; Bacillota. The record is from RNAcentral.
UCGUGCUAGACGGGGAGGUAGCGGUGCCCUGAACCCGCAACCCGCUAUAGCGGGGUCGAAUUCCCACUCGAGGGCGUUCUUUUUUGGGGCCUGGCCCUGUUAAGUAGCGAAGAUGGCUGGGUCCCGCGCAACGGAUGUCUGUGAACCCCGUCAGGACCGGGAGGUAGCAGCGGUAAGCAGAAUGUUCCGUGUGCCGCGGGGGUGCCUGGUCGGAGCCGGCUGGCAGGUUACCGCCUGGGAGAGACGUUCGACAGUGGGUGCACGA